Molecule: long non-coding RNA, 214 nt
Organism: Pomacea canaliculata
Lineage: Eukaryota; Metazoa; Mollusca; Gastropoda; Architaenioglossa; Ampullariidae
Exons: 3
Source: RefSeq, a predicted model, not a curated record
UACUUAUAAGAGGCUUCCGGUUUUAAACAAGAUGGUUGCGCCCUUGGGUGAAUACCGAAAGUCCUAGACAAUGAGCUGCGCUGGAAUUUUCGAUGAUCAAUUGGAAGGUUGGAGAGGUGAACUUCUAUCGUGUAUACAAAAGAAGGCUGGCAGAAAAAAUAGCUCAGGAAAGCUUAGCACCUGAAGAGUCUCACCGAGUUUCUGACUAGACCCC